This is a long non-coding RNA of Vitis riparia (riverbank grape), 1719 nucleotides long. RefSeq lists it as uncharacterized. Lineage: Eukaryota; Viridiplantae; Streptophyta; Magnoliopsida; Vitales; Vitaceae. The record is from RefSeq and is a predicted model, not a curated record. The transcript is spliced from 2 exons.
UUUUCCUAUUGAAAUCUCAGGGCUUUAUAGAAUUCUUUUCAAUUUUCGAUUUUUUUUUUUGAAUUUCAUAUAUAUAGAAUUUGAAUUCGGGCAUGACCAGUGAAUUGGAAUUUCUUUUUCCAAGAUUAGGUUAUUUUCUAAUCCCUUCUGUGAAUUGUGUGGGUGAAACUUGAACUUUGUUAAUGAGGUUAGGAAGCCUGUUAUAUGCCUUGCUUCUAAAGAUAGGGAUUGCAGAAAAGGAUGGAACUGUGCGACUUGGGCAAGCAUGAAAAUCAUGGCUGGUUUUGUGUUGUUUUUUAUUGGCUGUUACCUUGUUCUUGUUUCUGUUCUUUUGGGUGGCAGGCUAGGAGGGCGUCGAAGUAGAGGUGGGGGAGAUAAAACAGUAUCCCUUUUGGGCCUCUGUGGCUGGGUAUUUGAAUUGGCUGAAGGUGGAUAGCAUUGUUGUAUAAAGAUGUUUCUUUGUGUUCUGCUCCCUAGUGUUGGUCUACAGACCAUCGGGGUUUUGUCAGAAGGUGAGCUGUUUUGAUGCUGAUAAUGUUGAAAGACGAUGUAUGUUGAUAUAGCGGUGAUAGAGGAGCUACUUCUUUUUUGUACUUGGGAUUUCCAUCACUAACAAAGUUAGGUUAUCAUAACUUGUAUCCAGAAAGAAGCUAGCUAAAUUUACGAUGAAGGGUGCAGAGUUGGUUAAAUUGGUGUUAAUGAAUGCCAUUACAAUGAGAAAGAAAUGAUGACAGAUUAAGUAUAUAACAGAUGUAGAAAUCGCUAUAAUACAUGCUUGGGCCCACACUAAAGUUGCUGGUUAAGUCCAUGAAGGGUGGUUGAAAAUCAUCAUCGAUUCAUGAUUGUUGAACAGGAUAUGAAGAUUAGUUGUUUUUCAAAUUCAAACAGCACAAACCACUUUCAAUGACAACAUGCCAUAUGCACGGUCAUUAAAAUUUAACCAUUUAAGGUUCUUGGGACAAGCAAAGGAGUUUUGGUUGUCAAGUAGUGGGAAAUACUGUGAGCUGGUUCUGGGUAAAAAGGAAAUGUUCUAAAAUUCUGACCCUUUUUAGACCUGUGCAUACAUCCACCUUAAGUGAAUGAAGCAUUCUCUUUUUAAACUAUGGGCCUAGUCCAACUCCAACUUAUGCAAUAUCCUCUUGAACAUUGGAUUUCAGUGUAUCACCCCAUUCUUCAAAAAAUAAUUAGCCACUAGUGCAUCCUUGAGAAUACUAAAGUGGCAUCCUUUAGCGAACUGAAUCAGUAUCACUUAGCAGGUUGGUUCUAAUGAUGAUUUUUUGGAGGGUUUCCAGGUGGGCUUGAGCAUUUGGAUGAGAUCAUGCACACCUUUUGUAUUUGGAUGAAGCUGAUCAGUUGAGAUGCCUAAGGUGUGCUUUGUUGUUCUUUGAAGUGGUUUCAGGUUUGAAGAUGAUGGAGAAGUGAGAUACCAUCAUGGUGGUGCCACUUGAAACCAUUUCAGGUUUUGGCAAGCACGUUUGGAUGCAAGAGAGGAAGCUUCCAUCUAUUUAUAUAGGCUUAUAUCUGGUCUUUUGCUUUAAUUUUAGCAGCAAGCAAUCAUAAAAAUGUUAAAAAAUAACAUUUGUGCAUAAAGGUUGUACUGAUGAGACCUUUAAAUUUUAAAUAGUGCAUUAAAUGCACUGUAAUCCUUCUUCUUCUUUACCUUCUGCAGUCAGAUUCUUAUUGUAAUGUUUCUUAGUAUUCAAUAAGCAUCUCUAAGAA